RNAcentral lists this long non-coding RNA (995 nucleotides) under Olea europaea subsp. europaea. Lineage: Eukaryota; Viridiplantae; Streptophyta; Magnoliopsida; Lamiales; Oleaceae. The record is from RNAcentral.
UCUCAAACUUAUGCGACAUCAUAUAUUUGGGCAAAUGAUCCAACCGUCCAAGAAGCUCUUCAUAUUAAAAAGGUACUUCUGAUACAAAAUUGUUGAAGAUCCAUUGCACUUUAUAAGGGUUAAUCUUUUAUUUUGAUUGCCAGGGAACAAUAACGGAUUGGACGAGAUGCAAUCACAGCUUAUCCUAUGCACAUAAUAUAGGAAGUGUUGUUCAAUAUCAUAAAAUUCUCAGCAGGAAAGGAUAUGAAGCUUUGGUUUAUAGGUAGUCAUAUUCAUUGUUUUUUUUUUUUUUAAACAUAGUGACUUAAUUUGUUCUGAGUUUAUUCUAGUCCAUCAACUAAGAUAAUAGUUGUUUCACAAGUCAUGGUAAAAGUAUUAAUCGAAAAACCUAACUCUACAAAUUUGUAAAUUAGAUUUAAUAUUUUUCAAUUGUUUGUGUUCUUUCCAGUGGUGAUCAUGACAUGGUCAUACCUUAUAUGGGUACUUUAAAAUGGAUUCAUGGUCUCAAUCUAACAAUAGAUGACGAGUGGAGACCUUGGAAUGUUAACGGCCAAGUUGCAGGGUUGGUUUCCAAUUCUUUAUCACUUCCAUUCACACGCAUAUAUAUUGCAUCUUAUUAAUUAAUCUCCAAAUCUCAUUUACAUUUUAUUUUGUAGAUACACAAGGAAAUACAAGAAGAAUGACUUCUAUCUCACAUUCGUAACUGUGAAGGUAAGAAAAUUUCAAUAUGCUCUUUCUCAUAGUGAUUAACAGAAAAGGAAGUAAACAUUUGUUAUAUAUUGCAGGGUGCAGGUCAUACGGCUCCUGAAUAUAACCCUGAACAAUGUCUUGCAAUGCUUGACCGAUGGCUCUCUUUAUAUCCUUUAUAGGUUUGGGUUGAUGGCGAAGUUUUAAGGGUUCAUCUAUUACAUCUUUUUAACAAGGUAUUGUCGUUAUAUAUUCUGUAAUUGUUUAUUCAGUUAAUAAAACCAAUGUAAUAUGAUAAUCAUACAGAA